ACAAUUCACAUUUCACUCCGGGCAACCUAUAAAUUUAUAGUAAAAGUCGUCGCUACCAGCUGAUACGUCCACUGUUAGUCCAAUUAACCCAGAAACCACUCACAAAUGUUUUGGAGUAUUAAGAAAGAAUAUGCUGGCAGGAAGACUAUUGUUUUUCCCAGUUAUUUUUAAAAAAACAUUCUUAACAGGGUUUUUCCUCCAAGCUCAGGGUUUGUAGGGUUUUUAUGGUUUCAUUCUGUUAGCGCCAAAAAUCAUGGCGGGGAGCGUAGAUAAGUUGACCACGAUUUGGGUGGUGGUUAUGGUAUUCAUAAAUGGAGUAAAUCGUGGUGCCUCAAAUCACAAAUACAGUAAGGGAGAUUUGUUGCCAUUAUAUUCUAACAAAUUCGGCCCCUUCAAUAAUCCCAUGAGAGUAUCACUUGGAUUUGAUAGCCAGCUAUAGAGAAGUUCCAAUCAUUGAGUUGUACAACAAUGCUAGAUGCUUUUGAGCCUUUUCAUGGAGUUCUUCUUUGUGAAGGGGAGGACAUGGAUCCUUCCCUCUAUGAGAAUUAAAAUGGUUUAUCUCAUGAUGAAUUGGAUAAAAUAAGGAAAUUACACAUCAAUGAUACUGCCAUUGACAGAGCAAAUGACUCCAUUGAAUUUUUGCUUGCUCAACACUGCCUUGAAAGGAACAUACCUUAUUUGGGUAUAUACAGAGGAUCUCAACUCCUCAAUGUAGCUUGUGGGGGAACCCUAUAUCAGGAUGUUGAGAAGAGGUGUCUGAAAAAUCAGGUUUUGAUAUUAAGCAUAUAAACUAUGAUAAUUAUGAUGGGUUUAGGCACCCUAUCAAAGCGGUAGAAGAUACUCCACUUCAUUCCUAGUUUCAAGAUUCAUUAGGAGUCGUCAUGAAUAUGGAUAUUAUGGUUAAUAGCUACUAUCAUCAAAUAUAUAUAGCUCAAUGGCUUUUAUUCAACAAAAUAUUCAGUUUUUUUCCACCACCCACUCACAUUUUUCUCUGAUUUCCAGGGAAUAAAGAGAUUGGCAGAGAUAUUCAUACUAAUGGCAUGUGGCCUAGAUGGUUUGAUUGAAGCAUUUUAUGACCCAAAUGCAUACAAUCGAGAGGAACAAAAAUUCAUAAUGGGUCUGCAAUUCCACCCUGAAAGAAUGUGCCAUGAUGGCCAAAACUGCACAGAGAAUAUUUUUGACUAUCUAGGAUGCCCAAGGCUUUAUGAGGAAUUUGUAAGAGUCGUUGUUGCAUAUCAGAUAAAGUUGGUGGUCUGCAGUUGAGAACGUAAAAUUGUGGAAGUGGGUGGUGAAAUAGAAAAACAGAGCAAGAGAAUAGUGAGGAGUUAUUCCAUAACCAAGUUGAUAUAUGAAAAUUAAACAAUUUCCAAUCCCUCUGCGAAAGCCUUAGAUUUACAUCCUGGAGCAUUAUUUUUUCAGGUACACAAGAAAAGGUUGUUGAAGCAUAUGCCAUUGCCGCCAUCAAAUUCAGAGGUCUUAAUGCUGCAACAAAUUUUGAUAUGAGCAGAUAUGAUGUGAAAACUAUAAUUGAAAGAAGCACAUUACCCAUUAGAGGAGCUGUAAAAUGUAUCAAGGAAGCCAAUAUAUUUUAUCUAAGUGUUGAAUGUUGUCGAACAGAUGAGGACAUGAAUUCACAAAUCAAUACCUUAACCAGUUACACCAAUGAUCAUGGUAAUUACCCAAGUGGGAAUGCAAGAUGGCCUAUGAUUGCAUUUCAACAACAUGCAUUCAAUGUGAUUUGCAAUGGCUCUGUUGGAAUUUUGUAAAUUCUCUAAUAGAAUAAUGUAUAUGAUAGUUCCAAUAGAAAUAUUUAGGGGACAUCAAAUGAUCCUAUCGAGGGGAAAUGAACUAUCCUAUUUUAUUUUUAUGGGUUAGCCAGCAUUCAGCUCCAAAUGCAACCAUUGUACAAAACACAUUUUAAUACAUUGAAACAA
This is a long non-coding RNA of Cryptomeria japonica (Japanese cedar), 1934 nucleotides long. RefSeq lists it as uncharacterized. The transcript has 5 exons. NCBI's taxonomy places the organism in Eukaryota, Viridiplantae, Streptophyta, Pinopsida, Cupressales, Cupressaceae. The record is from RefSeq and is a predicted model, not a curated record.